RNAcentral lists this ribosomal RNA (584 nucleotides) under Ameerega picta group sp. ABGD cluster 7. RNAcentral describes it as "partial large subunit ribosomal RNA". It matches the Rfam family "Bacterial large subunit ribosomal RNA", at positions 1808 to 2606 of the family's 2925-position model. Lineage: Eukaryota; Metazoa; Chordata; Amphibia; Anura; Dendrobatidae. The record is from RNAcentral.
CAAAAACAUCGCCUCUUGCCUAUUAUAAGAGGUCCAGCCUGCCCAGUGACUCUGUUCAACGGCCGCGGUAUCCUAACCGUGCGAAGGUAGCGUAAUCACUUGUUCUUUAAAUGAGGACUAGUAUGAAUGGCCCCACGAGGGCUGCACUGUCUCCUUUUUCUAAUCAAUGAAACUAAUCUCCCCGUGAAGAAGCGGGGAUAAUCCUAUAAGACGAGAAGACCCUAUGGAGCUUUAAACAACUGAAACACUUGCUUUUUCCUUAGCAUCUUCUGAGCUCUUUACUUUAUUUAAGCAUUUUUAUUUCUAGUUUUAGGUUGGGGUGACCGCGGAGCAAAACUUAACCUCCAUGAAGAAAUGAAUAUUUUUUAAGCCACAAACUACUUUUUUAAGCAUCAAUAAAUUGACCUUCAUUGACCCAAUAUAUUGAUCAACGAACCAAGUUACCCUAGGGAUAACAGCGCAAUCUACUUCAAGAGCUCAUAUCGACAAGUAGGUUUACGACCUCGAUGUUGGAUCAGGGUAUCCUAGUGGUGCAGCCGCUACUAAUGGUUCGUUUGUUCAACGAUUAAAACCCUACGUGAUCU